This 410-nucleotide ribosomal RNA is filed under the name uncultured Rhizophagus. Its description in RNAcentral is "partial 28S ribosomal RNA". Lineage: Eukaryota; Fungi; Glomeromycota; Glomeromycetes; Glomerales; Glomeraceae. The record is from RNAcentral.
GAGAGUUAAACAGUACGUGAAAUUGUUGAAAGGGAAACGAUUAAAGUCAGUCGUACCUACGAGUAAUCAACCUACACGAGCGCGAUUUUGUGGGUAUGAAGAGGUAAAAACCUUCAUGCUUGCUAAUUGGUGUUCUUUGGGCGUACUUUCUCGUAUGGUAGGUUAACAUCAAUUUCGAUCGUUAUAAAAUGACAGGAGGAAUGUAGCUUCGACUUCGGUUGAAGUGUUAUAGCCUCUGGUAGAUGUAAUGAUUGGGAUUGAGGAUUGCAACGGAUACCCUCUGGGCUAUUCGUCUGAUCUCUGGAAGUUACCUUGGUGUCGAAAGCGUGCUUAUGACAUUAAGAAUGACGGCCAAAAGGUUAGAACGGAAUUAAAUUCGUUAAGGAUGUUGACGUAAUGGCUUUAAACGA